RNAcentral lists this ribosomal RNA (460 nucleotides) under uncultured bacterium. RNAcentral's name for it is "partial 16S ribosomal RNA". It matches the Rfam family "Bacterial small subunit ribosomal RNA", at positions 338 to 795 of the family's 1533-position model. The record is from RNAcentral.
CCUACGGGUGGCUGCAGUGAGGAAUAUUGGUCAAUGGGCGCGAGCCUGAACCAGCCAAGUAGCGUGAAGGAUGACUGCCCUACGGGUUGUAAACCUCUUUUAUAAAGGAAUAAAGUGAGGCACGCGUGCCUUUUUGUAUGUACUUUAUGAAUAAGCAUCGGCUAACUCCGUGCCAGCAGCCGCGGUAAUACGGAGGAUCCGAGCGUUAUCCGGAUUUAUUGGGUUUAAAGGGAGCGUAGAUGGGUUGUUAAGUCAGUUGUGAAAGUUUGCGGCUCAACCGUAAAAUUGCAAUUGAUACUGGCAGGCUUGAGUACAGUUAAGGUAGGCGGAAUUCGUGGUGUAGCGGUGAAAUGCUUAGAUAUCACGAAGAACUCCGAUUGCGAAGGCAGCUUACUAAACUGCCACUGACAUUGAUGCUCGAAAGUGUGGGUAUCGAACAGGAUUAGAUACCCGAGUAGUC